Long non-coding RNA from Serinus canaria (Common canary), 689 nucleotides. RefSeq lists it as uncharacterized. The record is from RefSeq and is a predicted model, not a curated record. NCBI's taxonomy places the organism in Eukaryota, Metazoa, Chordata, Aves, Passeriformes, Fringillidae. The transcript has 3 exons.
AGCUGGCAGAUGGUACAGGAGGAAAGAAGACAGUCUGGGGAUCCAAGGGGAGAGAAGGAAGAUUCACCUUUCAGUCUUUUGUUGUCUGUCUACUUUGAAGUUCUUCCAGGUCUGAAGUCACACUUAUCCUACAUCUGACAAUGCAGCAACCCAAAGAAAGAAGUGCAUGUUAGAUCAUGUCCCAACAGAACUGCUAAGAGGGAAUACACACUGACAGAGUUGAUAAUGUACUGGAAAGUUAUCAUUGUCUCUAGAAAGCUCUGGAAAAGAGUAGAGAUUAUGAACUGCUGUAGAACCUAUCCUCAGUAAUGAUUAAUAAAACCAGGUGUUUAUUGCUUCCUUGCAAAGGGACUUGAAAACCCCAUAGUUAGGGUAAUUUCAUUUUUAUGUGGGGGGUUAUUUUCCAAACAGAUUAUCAAGUGUGUCAUUCAGCCCUCAGCAGUCAACUGUAUUAUGUUGAGUUCCCCCCCAAGUAAAGGUCAAAUUAAUUUUAAUUUGUCUUUACAAAUUGCAAAUUGUGACUAUGGAGCAAGACUCUUCUAAUAAAUGAUUUUUACUUAUUCGCCACCCUAGAAGGAGCUUUUGCUGAGAUAAAAUAAGACACAUAGUGCACCUUUUGUCGAGAAUGUUAUACUGGUCAUAGGCCAGUCAUUGUUACCUGUGCAAUAAAACUCUUUUUAGAUCUUCAA